UACAGAGGUCUCAAGCGUUGUUCGGAUUCAUUGGGCGUAAAGGGUGCGUAGGCGGCGCGGUAAGUCGGAUGUGAAAUCUCGGGGCUUAACUCCGAAACUGCAUUCGAUACUGCCGUGCUUGAGGACUGGAGAGGGGACUGGAAUUUACGGUGUAGCGGUGAAAUGCGUAGAUAUCGUAAGGAAGACCAGUGGCGAAGGCGGGUCUCUGGACAGUUCCUGACGCUGAGGCACGAAGGCCAGGGGAGCGAACGGG
Molecule: ribosomal RNA, 253 nt
Filed under: uncultured bacterium
Lineage: Bacteria
Description: partial 16S ribosomal RNA
Rfam family: Bacterial small subunit ribosomal RNA
Source: RNAcentral